GUGCUCUCUUCAGCAGCACAAAUACUUAAAUCAGAAUGACACAGAGAUUAGCGUGGCCCCUGCACAAGGAUAACACGCAAAUUUGUGAAGCGUUCCAUAUUUAA
RNAcentral lists this small nuclear RNA (104 nucleotides) under Myotis davidii. The record is from RNAcentral. Lineage: Eukaryota; Metazoa; Chordata; Mammalia; Chiroptera; Vespertilionidae.